AGAGUUUGAUCAUGGCUCAGAACGAACGCUGAUGGCGUGCUUCAUACAUGCAAGUCGAGCGCCCCGCAAGGGGAGCGGCGAACGGGUGAGUAACGCGUGAACAAUCUGCCUUAAAGUGGGGGAUAACCAUUCCAACGGAUGGCUAAUACCGCAUAGGAUUUGGGACCGGCAUCGGUUCCCUAUGAAAGCAUUUAUGCGCUUUAAGAUGAGUUCGCGUCCCAUUAGCUAGUUGGCGGGGUAACGGCCCACCAAGGCAACGAUGGGUAGCCGGCCUGAGAGGGUGUCCGGCCACAUUGGGACUGAGAUACGGCCCAGACUCCUACGGGAGGCAGCAGUAGGGAAUUUUGCGCAAUGGGGGAAACCCUGACGCAGCAACGCCAUGUGUGGGAUGACGCAUUUCGGUGUGUAAACCACUGUCGGCAGGGAAUAAAGCCCACAUUUAUGUGGGGGUGAAUGUACCUGCAGAGGAAGCCCCGGCUAACUUCGUGCCAGCAGCCGCGGUAAUACGAGGGGGGCAAGUGUUGUUCGGAAUCACUGGGCGUAAAGGGAGCGUAGGCGGAUGUUUAAGUUGGAUGUUUAAAACCGGGGCCUAACCUCGGAGCGGCAUCCAAAACUGGGCAUCUUGAAUAGGUCAGAGGCUGGUGGAAUUGGAGGUGUAGCGGUGGAAUGCGUAGAGAUCUCCAAGAACACCUAUUGCGAAGGCAGCCAGCUGGGACCAUAUUGACGCUGAGGCUCGAAAGCAUGGGGAGAAACAGGAUUAGAUACCCUAGUAGUCC
This 776-nucleotide ribosomal RNA is filed under the name uncultured bacterium. RNAcentral's name for it is "bacterial SSU rRNA". It matches the Rfam family "Bacterial small subunit ribosomal RNA", at positions 8 to 796 of the family's 1533-position model. The record is from RNAcentral.